UCUCCUGCGGGAGGCAGCAGUGGGGAAUAUUGGACAAUGGGCGCAAGCCUGAUCCAGCCAUGCCGCGUGAGUGAUGAAGGCCCUAGGGUUGUAAAGCUCUUUCACCGGAGAAGAUAAUGACGGUAUCCGGAGAAGAAGCCCCGGCUAACUUCGUGCCAGCAGCCGCGGUAAUACGAAGGGGGCUAGCGUUGUUCGGAAUUACUGGGCGUAAAGCGCACGUAGGCGGAUCGAUCAGUCAGGGGUGAAAUCCCAGGGCUCAACCCUGGAACUGCCUUUGAUACUGUCGAUCUGGAGUAUGGAAGAGGUGAGUGGAAUUCCGAGUGUAGAGGUGAAAUUCGUAGAUAUUCGGAGGAACACCAGUGGCGAAGGCGGCUCACUGGUCCAUUACUGACGCUGAGGUGCGAAAGCGUGGGGAGCAAACAGGAUUAGAUACCCCAGUAGUCCCA
This 446-nucleotide ribosomal RNA is filed under the name uncultured organism. Its description in RNAcentral is "partial 16S ribosomal RNA". It matches the Rfam family "Bacterial small subunit ribosomal RNA", at positions 335 to 797 of the family's 1533-position model. The record is from RNAcentral.